This 376-nucleotide ribosomal RNA is filed under the name uncultured bacterium. Its description in RNAcentral is "bacterial SSU rRNA". It matches the Rfam family "Bacterial small subunit ribosomal RNA", at positions 521 to 896 of the family's 1533-position model. The record is from RNAcentral.
UAAGACGAACCGAGCGAACGUUGUUCGGAAUAACUGGGCUUAAAGGGCGCGUAGGCGGGCCGCCAAGUUCGAGGUGAAAUCCUCCGGCUCAACCGGAGAACUGCCUCGAAUACUGGAGGCCUCGAGGCGGGUAGGGGCAUGCGGAACUGUGGGUGGAGCGGUGAAAUGCGUUGAUAUCCACAGGAACUCCGGUGGCGAAGGCGGCAUGCUGGACCCGAUCUGACGCUGAGGCGCGAAAGCCAGGGGAGCAAACGGGAUUAGAUACCCCGGUAGUCCUGGCCCUAAACGAUGGGUACUAGGUAGUAGACUUGACAUGGGUUUACUGCCGGAGCUAAAGUGCUAAGUACCCCGCCUGGGGAGUAUGGUCGCAAGGCUG